GAUGAAGAACGCAGCGAAAUGCGAUAAGUAAUGUGAAUUGCAGAAUUCAGUGAAUCAUCGAAUCUUUGAACGCACAUUGCGCCCGCUAGUAUUCUGGCGGGCAUGCCUGUUCGAGCGUCAUUUCAACCCUUAAGCCCUGUUGCUUAGCGUUGGGAGCCUACAGUACUGUAGCUCCCCAAAGUUAGUGGCGGAGUCGGUUUCACACUCUAGACGUAGUAAUUUUUUCUCGUCUGUAGUUGAGCCGGUCCCCUGCCGUAAAACACCCAAUUUAUCAAGGUUGACCUCGGAUCAGGUAGGAAUACCCGCUGAACUUAAGCAUAUCAAUAAGCGGAGGA
This 335-nucleotide unclassified non-coding RNA is filed under the name soil metagenome. RNAcentral's name for it is "partial contains 5.8S ribosomal RNA, internal transcribed spacer 2, and large subunit ribosomal RNA". The stretch from base 1 to 120 matches the Rfam family "5.8S ribosomal RNA", at positions 35 to 154 of the family's 154-position model. The record is from RNAcentral.